This 465-nucleotide ribosomal RNA is filed under the name uncultured bacterium. RNAcentral describes it as "partial 16S ribosomal RNA". It matches the Rfam family "Bacterial small subunit ribosomal RNA", at positions 28 to 507 of the family's 1533-position model. The record is from RNAcentral.
GACGAACGCUGGCGGCGUGCUUAACACAUGCAAGUCGAACGGAAAGGCCCCCUUGUGGGGUACUCGAGUGGCGAACGGGUGAGUAACACGUGAGUAACCUACCCUUGACUUUGGGAUAACUUCAGGAAACUGGGGCUAAUACCGGAUAGGAGCUCCUGCUGCAUGGUGGGGGUUGGAAAGUUUCGGCGGUUGGGGAUGGACUCGCGGCUUAUCAGCUUGUUGGUGGGGUAGUGGCUCACCAAGGCUUUGACGGGUAGCCGGCCGGAGAGGGUGACCGGCCACAUUGGGACUGAGAUACGGCCCAGACUCCUACGGGCGGCAGCAGUGGGGAAUAUUGCACAAUGGGCGGAAGCCUGAUGCAGCAACGCCGCGUGCGGGAUGACGGCCUUCGGGUUGUAACCCGCUUUCGCCUGUGACGAAGCGUGAGUGACGGUAAUGGGUAAAGAAGCACCGGCUAACUACGUG